CGGACCCGGGAGGUGGGGUGUUCCCGGGUGAACCCCCAGGCUGCCAGGGCCUUCCCCAUCGUGGACCGGGGAGGUGACGGGGGGAGCCCAUUGUUUCCUGGUGGAGACAGAUAUUCAUAAGUAAUCUCACAGAUCUAAGCAUCAGUGACAGCAGCAAGGCAAGGUAAGUGAAGUGACCGUCCAGCUCCAAGAGUUAGAGCAGGGGGUUUGCACCAGCCUGGCCUGGCUGAGGCGCUUUGGGAAGGUUUCUCUGCAGAAAUGCCAGCUGGCCUGAGAGCUGAGGAGAGAAUAGAUGCAUUGGUGGGGGAGCCAUGGCUCCCUGUGCAAGGCCGGAGGUGAGGCUGGAAGGCAGAGAGCAGGGGAUGGGCUCCAAUGGGAGAUGUACCUAGAAAGGCGGGCAUAGGCCUCCAAGGCCAAGGUGAGGAGGCUGGAUUUUCUCUUGCUGGUACUGGGAAGGCUUCAAAGGGUCCUGAGCAGAGGGGGAUUUUCAAGGAGUCCCUCUGGCUGCCAUAGGGAAGAGGCAGUGGGGACCACAUUGAUUUUUCAGAUCAGCCAAAUUCAUAUCAGUAGGAGAUACAACUUCAUUUUUUUGUUUAGAUUUAUAUUUAUUUAUUUAUUUAUUUAGUGCCAGGUCUCAGAUGCGGCAUGGCAUCUCUUAGUUGCGGCAUGCUGACUUCUUAGUCGCGACAUGUGGACUCUUAGUUGUGGCAUGCAUGCAGCACCUAGUUCCCCAACCAGUGAUCGAACCUGGGUCCCCUGCAUUGGGAGCGCAGAGUCUUACCCACUGGACCACCAGAGAAGUCCUGAUACACCUUCAUUUUAAGUUUCUUUUAUAAACCCCAUUCCAGUGCUGGUGGUAGGAACUUCAUCUCAGUUGUCUGGGGGUCCUCAUGGUCUCUGGAUCUCAGGCCACUGGUGACAAUGGCUUUGUCCUGCUGGCCUGGCCACAAGGCCCCUGAGCCCUGUGCUGCUCCUGGCUACGGCUGAGCCUUCUUUCUCUGCUCUCAGGCUACGGGGUGGGGACUCCGAAAGGCUUGGGGACCCACAAACUCUUGGGGAGCAGGAGGUUUACAGGGGAACCUGGGCCUCCCUGCUUCCUGACCUGCCGCCUCUGGGUGGUUCUCAGGGACCCAGGGACGGUGAACAGUCUCCUUCUCUGCUCCCUUUCCUCUUCCCCAGCACCCUGCAGCCUUCAGGAGGGUGCUUUCUGUCUCUGUUUGGCCCUGUUCCCUCAAGGAUUGUGCUUUGGAAUUGCAGAAACCAAGGACUCACUCCCAGCUUCUCUGGGAAGCUGCUGUCGGCCUUUCCCUGUAAUGACAAAUGCCUCCCUGACAGAACAGAGUACAGGAGAUGGGACAUCAUCUAAGCCAUCUUCUUGUUCAGACUGUUUAAUCUGAGUCAUGAGAAAACAGAAAUCUAAAUUAUGUAACAUUCUCUAAGAUGCUUGGAUACUUAAAAAAUGUCAAUGUCAUGAAAACAAAAGUGGGGAAACUGUUUCUGAUUCAACGAGACUAAAGAGACAUGAUAACUGAAAGCAGCGAAUGAUCCUUCACUGGAUCCUGGGUGGAUACAAAGGAAAAGCCAUGGAGGACAUUGCUCGGGCACUUGGAGUAUGGCCCUGCUUUAGCUGGUAUUAAUGUCUGGGCACCAAGUGCCCUCCUGGGUAAGGGAGGUGCUUGAGGGUCACUCGUUUGUUAAAUUAGAGAGUAAUAGUGGUAUUGUGCUCAUGUAGGAAUAUCCUUAUUCUUAGGUGUCGCUUGGUGUAUUUGGGGGUGAAGCAGCAUGCCCUGUGCAGCUUAUUUUUAAAUGGCUCAAGGUGAGGGGGAUGUUUGUGUAUGUCCCUGAGAGGAACAAUGCAAAUAUGGCAAAAUCUUGACAGUUGGUGAUUCUGGGUAAAGGACAUUAAACUAUUCUUUCAACUUGGGGAGGGUGAGCCUCUCCUCUGCUGCACCAGCAGGGCUGGGAGAGGGGGCCCAGGUACUCUGAUACAGGGAGUGCAGAACCCUCCCUGAGACCCUGAUCUAACCCUCAAGGCCCCUCCCCUGCUGCCGCAGAAACACUCAGGCUCUGAAGGGGUAAGGGUCCACCCAGUUCCCCGAGGCCCGUCAGGAGUAGAGCUGGGCUGCUCACUGGUCAAGUCCAGCGUGACUGCCUCCUGUGUUCACUCACACCUCUGAGUAUCUGGCUCAGUGACCAGGCAACCUGAAACCCAUUCACUUACCUUCGAGUCACCCUCAGCCAUGUCUCAGGGCAGGGGUAGGUCCAGGAAGGUGCCAGCCCCAGGAGUUAACCUGAGCCAUCCACGGUCACUGGACGCUCAGCCACCACUACCAGGAUCUAGACCUGAGAGCAGAGCACUCCUAGCGCAGGGGGUCUGGCUCACAGGCUUCAGGUGAGCUCACGAGCGGCCCCUCUGGGGAAGGCAGGGCAGCCCGAACAAAGUUCCUGGGAAGGUAGUUCCCCUGGGCUUGAGGUCACCAGCACCUCCGCUGCGUUGUGCCAAGGGAGGAGACCAGGUGCCUGCAGCUCGGCCGGGCCCAAGAACUUUCUGAAACACAUGUUCUGACCAGCAGACAUGGGCACCUACGGUUCCUCCUGUCCUCCCCUGCAUCCCUUCCCCAUCUCCCAAAGCUGGUUAAUACCCACUGUCCUUCAGCCUUGACCUGGGUUUGGCGGAGCUGUCAUGGGUUCUCACAGCCUCACUGUGCUGCAUCUCCUUUUCUACCAUCUGCUGUAGACUGGAACUCACCUAUGGCAUGUUCCGUGUCUCCCCCACCGGGGCGUGAGCUCUAUGAGCAAGGUAGGUGCUCAGGAAGUGCAUCCAGUGCAUGUAACUGUCACGGUGCGGGCAGCUGCUGGGGUACCGAGUGCCCCGUCCUGGGUGAAGCGCACGCAGAGUCGGGGUCUACGGAGGGGGCGUGAGUUGUCAGCGUGGGCAGCCCAUCUCAGCUCCCAUAUAGCAACGAUGAAGCAUUUAUCUCUCUGGAGGAAGCUGCAGGCAGAUGUUACACACUCAUCUUUCCGAGAAGGGAACCGAGAGCUUAGUUUUCUUGCCGGGGGUCACAGAGGUGGUGCGUGAGAGCGCUGGUGUUACAGUUUGCACUCGUCAGCCUGUCUCCAAUGAGCUGCCACUUGGAAGGGGUCUGGCUGUCUCCUGGGGCGUCCACUCCACCCGCCUCAUCCCAGCCUGGCCCGUCCCACUGCAAUAACACCAUGAGCCCGUGGUGCACGUUACCUCAUUUAUUCUCACAACAUGCCUGUGAGGUAGGGAGGGGCGGGGACUGUCCCCAUUUUACAGAGGAGGAAGUUGAGGCACACAGAGGUCAAGUGACUUGCCCAAGGUCACAGACGGCGGCCAAGCUGGAAUGGGCCCUAGAGCAGGCCCACAGUUCACCCGGGGCCCCUGUGGCAGGUGCUGGACACGAGGACGUCUCCAGUGCCGCAGCCGUGGCCACAGGAGAGAAGCCCUCGUGCACGGAGCUUGCUGCGGGCCUGGCCUCGCCCUCUCCCUCCCUGCCCCCCACCUCACCCUGCAGGCCUGGGCCAUUGCAGCUCAGGGCUCAUGACACCCUGGGAGUGGGGCUGGGGGGCAGGGGAGAGAGAAGGAUGACCGGGGUAAAAAAAUAGAAAACUCAGAGGCCGGGCAGAUGGGCCCAUGGCCGGGGAGGGGGGGGGUCAGGUGAGAGACAAAAAAAGGGGGGGCUGCUUACACACAAGGUAUAUAUUUUUACACACACUUGUACACACACCUAGAUAUAGUACAUGUAAAAAUAUAUGCUAUUCACACACCCGCCUCCUGCCAGGUGCCCCCGAGAGCCAGCGGUGGCGCUGGUGGGCAUGGGUGAGCAGAGGGGCGUUUGUUAAAUAUACACUCUAAGGUCUAUGUGCAUAUGUACACAUACGUACAGACACAGCCGCCCGCCCCUCGGGUACUGUACACAGGCUCGGCCAGGGACACAUGACCCC
Kogia breviceps (pygmy sperm whale) is the source of this 3966-nucleotide non-coding RNA. The record is from RefSeq and is a predicted model, not a curated record. Lineage: Eukaryota; Metazoa; Chordata; Mammalia; Artiodactyla; Physeteridae.